RNAcentral lists this long non-coding RNA (596 nucleotides) under Junco hyemalis (dark-eyed junco). RNAcentral's name for it is "lncRNA (ENSJHYG00000005369.1)". Lineage: Eukaryota; Metazoa; Chordata; Aves; Passeriformes; Passerellidae. The record is from RNAcentral.
CUUUAUUUAAUAUAUAUAUUUUAUACAUUUUUAUAUAUUUAUUUAUAUAUAUUAUAUAUUUAUAUAUUUUAUAUAUAUUAUAUAUAAUAUAUAUAAAAUAUAUUUUUUAUAAUAUAUGUUAUAUAUAUAUUUAAUAUAUAUAUAAAUCUCUACAUAACAAAUUUAUUAUUUGUUAAUAAAAUCUGAAUGAAAUUUCAAUUAACAGCAGCCAUAAGUAAUAUUCUAUCACUACUUAAUGAGCAUUAACUAAUUAAAGAAUCCCAUUUUUAAUUAAUAUCGAUUAUUAAUAAAUAAAUCACAAUUUUUCCCAUUUCCAGGCAAAGAAAACGGUGAAAAAACGAGUCCUGAACCCCAAAAAAACCCCAACAAGCACCAAGAAAGUCCCGAGCACCAAAGUCCUGACAGGGAAAAAGGAAAAAGUGAAGAAAACAGUGGGGGAGAAGAAAGUGAAGAAAACGUCGAAUGUGGAAGGUGAGGGGGAAAAAUUGAGGAAAAAUGGAAAAAUAAUUGAGAAAAAAUGGGAAAAAAGUGAGAAAAAAUGGGAAAAAUCUUGGGAGAAAAAAUUGGGGAAAAUUGAGAAAAAAUGGAAAAAAAAA